UGGGGAAUAUUGCACAAUGGGCGGAAGCCUGAUGCAGCGACGCCGCGUGAGGGAUGACGGCCUUCGGGUUGUAAACCUCUUUCAGCAGGGACGAAGCGCAAGUGACGGUACCUGCAGAAGAAGCGCCGGCCAACUACGUGCCAGCAGCCGCGGUAAGACGUAGGGCGCGAGCGUUGUCCGGAUUUAUUGGGCGUAAAGAGCUCGUAGGCGGCUUGUCGCGUCGACUGUGAAAACCCGCGGCUCAACCGCGGGCUUGCAGCCGAUACGGGCAGGCUAGAGUUCGGUAGGGGAGACUGGAAUUCCUGGUGUAGCGGUGAAAUGCGCAGAUAUCAGGAGGAACACCGAUGGCGAAGGCAGGUCUCUGGGCCGAUACUGACGCUGAGGAGCGAAAGCGUGGGGAGAGAAAAGG
RNAcentral lists this ribosomal RNA (409 nucleotides) under Actinomycetes bacterium. Its description in RNAcentral is "Actinobacteria bacterium partial 16S ribosomal RNA". It matches the Rfam family "Bacterial small subunit ribosomal RNA", at positions 355 to 776 of the family's 1533-position model. The record is from RNAcentral. Lineage: Bacteria; Bacillati; Actinomycetota; Actinomycetes.